CGGAGGGUGCAAGCGUUAUCCGGAUUCACGUGGGUUUAAAGGGUGCGUAGGUGGGCAGGUAAGUCAGUGGUGAAAUCCCCGAGCUUAACUUGGGGACUGCCGUUGAUACUAUCUGUCUUGAAUAUCGUGGAGGUAAGCGGAAUAUGUCAUGUAGCGGUGAAAUGCUUAGAGAUGACAUAGAACACCAAUUGCGAAGGCAGCUUGCUACACGGUAAUUGACACUGAGGCACGAAAGCGUGGGGAGCAAACAGGAUUAGAUACCCUGGUAGUCCACGCCCUAAACGAUGAUCACUCGACAUCAGCGAUACACUGUUGGUGUCUGAGCUAAAGCAUUAAGUGAUCCACCUGGGAAGUACGAUCGCAAGAUUG
RNAcentral lists this ribosomal RNA (369 nucleotides) under uncultured organism. Its description in RNAcentral is "bacterial SSU rRNA". It matches the Rfam family "Bacterial small subunit ribosomal RNA", at positions 526 to 896 of the family's 1533-position model. The record is from RNAcentral.